AGCGAACGCUGGCGGCGUACCUAACACAUGCAAGUCGAACGGGGAUCACAGGGUUAGCAAUAACUCUGUGGUUCUAGUGGCGCACGGGUGAGUAACACGUGGGUAACCUGCCCUUGAGACUGGGAUACCCCCUCGAAAGGGGCUAAUACCGGAUACGUUCCUCGGAUCGAAAGGUCUGAAGAGGAAAGGUGGCGAAAGCUGCCGCUCUUGGAGGGGCUCGCGGCCUAUCAGCUAGUUGGCGGGGUAACGGCCCACCAAGGCUAUGACGGGUAGCUGGUCUGAGAGGACGACCAGCCACACGGGGACUGAGACACGGCCCCGACUCCUACGGGAGGCAGCAGUGGGGAAUUUUCCGCAAUGGGCGAAAGCCUGACGGAGUGACGCCGCGUGUGGGACGAAGGCCUUCGGGUCGU
Molecule: ribosomal RNA, 413 nt
Filed under: uncultured bacterium
Lineage: Bacteria
Description: bacterial SSU rRNA
Rfam family: Bacterial small subunit ribosomal RNA
Source: RNAcentral